This is a long non-coding RNA of Populus nigra (black poplar), 1908 nucleotides long. RefSeq lists it as uncharacterized. NCBI's taxonomy places the organism in Eukaryota, Viridiplantae, Streptophyta, Magnoliopsida, Malpighiales, Salicaceae. The record is from RefSeq and is a predicted model, not a curated record. The transcript is spliced from 2 exons.
AAAGCAGUAGUCUUUCACCCAUUCUUUGAUUGCAAACCAUAUCUCUAGCCCAUCAACUGCAUAUGGGUAAUCUUUUAUCAGCAGGCGAACACCGUGUGGUGCCUUUGGAUCCUCAACUGCCACUCCUCUGAACAAACAAGGAUAAACUGUUGAUUCCAGGAUUCCACCAGCAUUAAUUAGUGUCUGCCUAGCUAGCGCAUUUAUGUUCAUUGUGUCGCGGAAGUGAGGUUCCAAGAGUUUAUAGAUCGGGUGAAGCACACUGAGUUGCCUAUUUGUUGCAAUCACAAAUGGUUCACUUACAGCAUGAGUGUUCAAAAAAUGGCUAAUAAGCUGAUGGUAACCAGAGUCGUUUACACCCACAUAAGCUUUAGCCAGCUGCCAAAUGGUACCUUCAACACCAUCUUCAGCUGGGGUAUAGACUUUGCUAAUGGCUCCAAAUUCAUCUCCCUUGUCAUGAGGCAAGCUUAACUCAAUUACAAGUGGCUUCAAAGUUCCAUCAUCUUUCAAGAAAAGCAAUGUCCUUGAAGCAUAAGUCUUUGUGGUAGUAGUGUUUAUCCUCCUCAGGUAUGGCAUCAAUUCAUCAUGAUGAUCUAAGAUGAACAUCCUGUUGUUCUUGAUUGCCUAUUCAACAACAAAUAAUUUCAGCUACGGUUGUUUUUUUCUUUAAUGGGAUGACUAAAUUCAGCAUCUCCAUCUGUGAAACAUUCACAGAUCUGAUCUUAAACUCAACUGUCGAAUAAACUUAUCGAGAGAUGGCUUACCUCAUCUAUGGUCAGUCCAUCCAGAUUGUCCUUGAUGUGCUUCUCUGUUAUUGAGCUGUUUUGAUCACCAUAUUGCUUGCUGUUUAGCUUGCUUUUGGGAGGGAAUUUCUGCAGUGAUUUGUUAUUAGACACAAAGAAAAAACAUAUAAUAUAUAUUUCGGAGACAGAAAAUUCUAUUGGAACUUUAGCUUACCUCAAGACGACGAAUGAUAACUGGGUUUACUCCUGCCAGCAUUUCUCUGCCAAAUUCUUCAUCAGUCCUCCAGGCAGAAUGAUUAUCUGCAGAGUAUAUCAUAAUUUAGUGGCCAAAAGGGGGAUGGUUGAAUGUUUGUUUAUGAAAUAGUCCAAACAUAGAGUUAAAUGUUUAAGUUCACACCUUGAAUCACUUGAGGCUUCGGAAAUUUGAAGAGGUUUUCACCAUCAGUUCUAAAAAUUUCCUUAAGCAUCUCCAAGGGAAUGUUUUUCCUAAGAUUAUCUAGAAGGGGACCUUCAGGAAGCUCAAAGCCUCCCUCAUAGAGUUUCAAUACAUCAUCAAAGGAGUCAAACUCAUUAGGGGUGCUGUCACAUAAUGCUUCCAGUUCAGGCUUGACAAAUUGAGCUAUAGAUUUCAGUGCAUAAGCAAGGAAGUCUGCCAUCUUCAGGUGACCGAAUCGUUCAUCUCUUGGAACAUAAAUGUUUAGGCUCAUCAGAAGUGGCAGCCUGCUCUCUGUGUUGGGAUCUGCAACAAGAUCAUGGAGAAGUUUUACAAUUGUCAAGCAGUGUAAAAUGCAACAUAAAAUGUGAGAUUCUGGAUCAACAGGUAAUGACCUGACUCUGUUGCUGCUCGGCCUGUUCUGCCCCUACGGGGAUAAGGAUACUCAGAAGACCCUCCAAGAACAGGGCGGACAUACUUUGGCCCCUUGUCAGGAUCUCCCAAAUCAUUGUAGUAAGCAUAGUCGUAGACGCGGUCCCAUUCCUUAAGCUCUCCUUCUCCAUUUCCUCUCAAAUGAACCAGUUCUUCUUCCCUGUAUUUACGUAGCGGUGCUGGUGUCUCGUGUGGCAGAAAUGUCUGUCCAAAUGUAUCAGAAUUUGCUGUAGCUCAGUCAAAUAUUAACAUCUACCUUCAUCUUUCUAUGUUACUUGAUAAUUACCUGGUUAGUGAAGAAAA